Molecule: long non-coding RNA, 1574 nt
Filed under: Mus musculus (house mouse)
Lineage: Eukaryota; Metazoa; Chordata; Mammalia; Rodentia; Muridae
Description: predicted gene, 57174
Source: RNAcentral
CUUCUAAUGAAACAAAGGGGCUCCAAGUGACAGGGCCAAGGCUAUGGAGUGACAUUUCACCCUUACCCUACGGCCCCACAUUGCUCCUCAGCCAUCUGAGCCCCCAAAGAAAUGGUGACAGUACCCCUGUCACCCAUGGAAGACUAGAGAGGCACCUUGCUUAUUCAGAGCAUGAUUGCCCCAGACCAGAAAGAAGUGGAAGAAACAGACCCUCCAAAGAAGAUGAGAAGAAAGAAGGGGGCCCGCGGAGAGUGCAGUCUGCUGAUGUCCUGAUGAUAUCAGCAGCAGAGAGAGCAUUGUCACAGUGAACAGUCUUGGUUCCCAGUGUGAAGACACAGGACGAGUCUGGAGUGCAUUAGAGAAGCCAGGAGAAGUCGCUCCUUGUGAUGCUGAAGUCAGGGAAGAAGUGAAGACCGUGGGUGGAAAUGAGAAGCAUUCAACCAUAAAUUAACGUCAGGCUGCAGAGAAAUCCAGACACCAGGAAAAUUUCUCAUGGGAAAUCUACUGUCUGCCCUCCACAGGGUGUGAGUCUUGGCCUUCAGAACAAGCUAUCACGGUUGUGGUGACCUUUGGUGUUCUCUAAGCUAUCUGAGGUCACAGGUUCAAUGUUACCUUUGGGUUUCUACAUGCAGGUGACUACAAUGAGCCUCUGGAGCCGCCUUCUCUUCAGGAAGUAGCUUAGCAAAUGGAAGACCCUUCCCCAGUAAAGAUGUCUUUGAACUUAUGAAUAAAUCGAUUGCCACAUCUUCCCUGAAGCCUGGGACUCUAAGUUGACUUUGCCACUCGCUUCUAAAGCUUGCACCCAAGAGAGGGAAACUAACAAACUUCACUCCUUUGCUUACUUCACGGCUGAACAAUAAAUAUUUGGGCAAGCCCUGGGAACUCUGGAAAGAGAAACAACUCAGCUCUCCUCCAUGAGUCUCACCUGUCUCUCAGAUCAAAGUAUCACAGACACAGAGAGAGGGACCCUUCUCUCUAGGGACCUGUUCACAUGCCUCUCUCCACAGCACAUGGAGGCUUUGCUUCUGAGAGCUUGGGUGGCCAGGUGAGCAGCUGCUGUUCAGCACCUCUAUGAAGACACAGUGGCUGGAACUCUGAUAGCAGGAGCUUAAGGAGACAGAUUAAGGACCUUUUUGCAGGAGCUGGCUGCUUGCGAGUUUUCCUUACUUCUUGUCCCCCCUUUUUUAUCCCUCGUGCUUUCGAGUAUUUGGUGGUGAUCGUGAAAAUUGGCACUCAUUUACAGAAAUGCCCCUUGGGGACUUCAGGUAUUGCAACUGGAUAAAACAUAUAUUGGCUUCAGAAUGGAGAGGAAAGCCCUUUAUUCAGUACACAUAGAUGGGUAAACGCUAGCAUGUAUCCGAUGCCUUAAACCAUGUUUGUUCUCAGUCCCUGGGAUGCCAGUGUUCAAACUUCGGAUGUAAUUAGGACGCUGUGCAAGGAUGUGUUUUCAAGGAUGCUAACUAUAGCUGCUCUGUCUGACUGUUAAACUGAGAAACUGUCUAGAUGUUCAAUAACUGGGAUUGAUCGAAUGAAUGAAGGCACAGAAAUAUAAUAAAGCACAUAUAAUUGUAAAA